AGUCGCUUCCGCUCCAGGGAAGUGCGGCUGUGGUAGGGUCUCCUUUGAGGGAGUUGAGCCCGCAUUGGCGGCGAUGCCUUUUCUCUUGGCCGGGGGUCAGCUGCGACAAACACGUCUUCGCCCUUCUGGAAGAGGAAUCUGUAGGCAGUAGCGGAAGAUUUUCUGGAUUAAGCCAUUAUUUCAUCUCCUGUCCUCCCUGAAUCACAUCCUCCAUAAGACAACUUAAAAGUUUUUAUGUCUAGAGCAGGGAGAAGAUCAGUGAUGUGAUACUAGAAGCUUAAAGAAGAAAAAUACUUCAAGAUUUUAUAAAAGUUUCCAACGUUUGUCUCUGUCAGUAUAGCUCCUUCCAUUUGCCUUAUGACUCACGUUUCAUAAUCAGCAAUUAAAGCCAAGGAAAUGUGGAAAACA
Long non-coding RNA from Leopardus geoffroyi (Geoffroy's cat), 408 nucleotides. RefSeq lists it as uncharacterized. The record is from RefSeq and is a predicted model, not a curated record. Lineage: Eukaryota; Metazoa; Chordata; Mammalia; Carnivora; Felidae. The transcript has 2 exons.